Molecule: transfer RNA, 83 nt
Filed under: Salmonella enterica subsp. enterica serovar Infantis
Lineage: Bacteria; Pseudomonadati; Pseudomonadota; Gammaproteobacteria; Enterobacterales; Enterobacteriaceae
Also listed under: 3 other names
Description: tRNA-OTHER
Source: RNAcentral
GGUCGGCGUACUCUUAACUGGUAAAGCGGCAUAAACCCUUCAGGGUCACAUGUUUAUGCGGGUUCGACCCCCGCCACCGACCU